Molecule: long non-coding RNA, 411 nt
Filed under: Vigna radiata
Lineage: Eukaryota; Viridiplantae; Streptophyta; Magnoliopsida; Fabales; Fabaceae
Description: long non-coding RNA (VRAD_LNC002812)
Source: RNAcentral
GGACCUAAUUAAAAAUAGGGAACAAAUAUGAGGACUAAAAUAUAUAUUUAACCUUUAUAUUUCCAUUAAAGGCAUUUGUUUCAUUAUGCCACUAUAAACUCCUUUGUUUUCCUCUACAACUAGAAAACGCGAACACUAUUGUCAUUCCUAGCCCUUUCUUCGUUGCCAUUGCCAACGUGAAUGUCGCUCCAUUCUCUUCCCUUCACUUGCCACUACGACGCAAACAUUGUCACAGUGUAUCUUUUCUCGCAAGAGGUUUCCUAACUUCAUCAUUUCGUAUCCACAUUCUUCAUGCGAGACACAUUGCUCCAAUUCUUCAUUGCCUAACUUGGUUGUCGCCAACGUCUCCUCCUAGCCAUUCCUCUGCAACUACGGAAUGCGAAUUCGUCAUUGUUGUAAUCUCUUCCCUUC